Molecule: long non-coding RNA, 1003 nt
Filed under: Marmota marmota marmota (Alpine marmot)
Lineage: Eukaryota; Metazoa; Chordata; Mammalia; Rodentia; Sciuridae
Source: RNAcentral
GCAAUGCUCAUGGUUCAGGGUCAUUAGUAGGUAUAGCUAGUUCAGGAAAGAUUGGGGUCCUCUUCGUGUUAAUGAGUUUGAAGGUCCAUCUCAGGACCACUACUGUGUGGAAGUAUGACAGUGAGAAGUUGGGGGUCAGUUGAGUUUUGUGUUUUCCUGUCUUUGAAGGUAAUGGCCUUGAGACGUGAUUGCACAGGGGCCACGGUUCCCAUGAUGUCUAGCACUGGGCUCUGAUCAUUCCUGAGGACACAGUGCUCUCCAGGACCUUUGACACCUGGGGGUCUGAGGAACCCUGGUUUUGAUGGUCUGGACAUAUGAACUAUUUCUUCCACACCCUCAUCAAGUCCUUCCUAUGUUACAGGUCUAACUUCUAGCUGAGGGGUUACCCACCAUCAUCCCAUCUUGGUAAGAAGCCUUGCUCCAAUGCCCUGAUCCAUCCAGGUCUAAAAUACAAGAUGUCUUACAUAUGUGCCAGCAGUCUUACUCAGUAUUACAUAUUAAAACCAUUUUAUAUCCAUGGGAACCCAGUCAACUACUCAUACAUCCAGACCCUAGUUCUGCUGUUCCUUGGCUUAUAGAGGUCAGAGCAAUCCCUCUCCUAAGCUUCAGUUGCUGUAUUCAUAAGGUGGCUUCUCCAGCUGUCCUGCUGCCCAGCUUUCCCUCCUGGUAAGGGCGGAGGAGCUGCCUGUUGGUAGGGAGCACAGCUCAGCAUCCUGUACUUGUGAAGCAGUGGCUUCCUUAAUCUCCAUAGUAACCCUGUGCUGGGAGGGAAGGGAGGGCUGUGCUGAGCCUGGGUUGCUAUCCUAUCAGGGUUGAGCUUGGGGACCCCAUGAUAUUCAGCACUGGGCUCUGACUGCCCCUGAAGAUAUAGUGCCACCCAGGACCUUAGACACCUGGGGAUCUGAGGGCCCCCACUCCAGGGAGGUGCUGGGUGGGGGUGUGGCCCUUUCUACUUCACACAGCUUCUGCAGCAGUGCCCUUCCUGACCCUCUUGCUCUUCCCU